RNAcentral lists this unclassified non-coding RNA (392 nucleotides) under soil metagenome. RNAcentral's name for it is "partial contains 5.8S ribosomal RNA, internal transcribed spacer 2, and large subunit ribosomal RNA". The stretch from base 1 to 122 matches the Rfam family "5.8S ribosomal RNA", at positions 35 to 154 of the family's 154-position model. The record is from RNAcentral.
GAUGAAGAACGCAGUGAAAUGCGAUACUUGGUGUGAAUUGCAGAAUCCCGUGAACCAUCGAGUCUUUGAACGCAAGUUGCGCCCGAAGCCAUUAGGCCGAGGGCACGCCUGCCUGGGCGUCACACGUCGUUGCCCCCCCAUCUACUCCUUCGGGAUUGCGGGGGGCGGAUGAUGGCCUCCCGUGCGCCUCGCCGCGCGGUUGGCAUAAAUGCCAAGUCCUCGGCGACGCACGCCACGACAAUCGGUGGUUGCGAAACCUCGGUUGCCCGUCGUGUGCGGUCGUCGCGCAUCGAGGGCUCGAAAAAAUUGCCGGGUUCCGGCUCGGCUUUCAACGCGACCCCAGGUCAGGCGGGGUUACCCGCUGAAUUUAAGCAUAUCAAUAAGCGGAGGAA